AGCGAACGCUGGCGGCAUGCUUAACACAUGCAAGUUGCACGGUCGGGGUAACCCGGCAGUGGCGGACGGGUGAGUAACGCGUAGGUAUCUAUCCAUGGGUGGGGGAUAACGGUUGGAAACGACUGCUAAUACCGCAUGACACCUGAGGGUCAAAGGCGCAAGUCGCCUGUGGAGGAGCCUGCGUUCGAUUAGCUAGUUGGUGGGGUAAAGGCCUACCAAGGCGACGAUCGAUAGCUGGUCUGAGAGGAUGAUCAGCCACACUGGGACUGAGACACGGCCCAGACUCCUACGGGAGGCAGCAGUGGGGAAUAUUGGACAAUGGGCGCAAGCCUGAUCCAGCAAUGCCGCGUGUGUGAAGAAGGUCUUCGGAUUGUAAAGCACUUUAAGCGGGGAGGAAGGCCUUGAGGAUAAUACCCUUGAGGAUUGACGUUACCCGCAGAAUAAGCACCGGCUAACUCUGUGCCAGCAGCCGCGGUAAU
This 479-nucleotide ribosomal RNA is filed under the name uncultured bacterium. RNAcentral's name for it is "bacterial SSU rRNA". It matches the Rfam family "Bacterial small subunit ribosomal RNA", at positions 29 to 524 of the family's 1533-position model. The record is from RNAcentral.